UCCGAGUUGACCCCGGCAGUCUCCUAUGAGUCCCCACCAUAACGUGCUGGCAACAUAGGACGAGGGUUGCGCUCGUUGCGGGACUUAACCCAACACCUCACGGCACGAGCUGACGACAACCAUGCACCACCUGUAUACGGCCCCGAAGGACACUGCAUCUCUGCAGCUUUUCCGGCAAAGUUCAACCCAGGUAAGGUUCUUCGCGUUGAAUCGAAUUAAGCCACAUGUUCCGCCGCUUGUGCGGGCCCCCGUCAAUUCCUUUGAGUUUUAGCCUUGCGGCCGUACUCCCCAGGCGGGGCACUUAAUGCGUUAGCUACGGCACGGAACCCGUCGAUAGAGUCCCACACCUAGUGCCCAACGUUUACGGCGUGGACUAC
Molecule: unclassified non-coding RNA, 377 nt
Filed under: uncultured Actinomycetes bacterium
Lineage: Bacteria; Bacillati; Actinomycetota; Actinomycetes
Description: uncultured actinobacterium contains 16S-23S intergenic spacer region
Source: RNAcentral